Non-coding RNA from Trichobilharzia regenti, 46 nucleotides. The record is from Rfam. NCBI's taxonomy places the organism in Eukaryota, Metazoa, Platyhelminthes, Trematoda, Strigeidida, Schistosomatidae.
GUGCUAAUGAAGAGUCCCAAACUAGGAUGAAACAGCUGUCCAGUAC